AGGUUAAGUUAACAAGGGCGCAUGGUGAAUGCCUUGGCACUAGGAGCCGAUGAAGGACGGGACUAACACCGAUAUGCUUCGGGGAGCUGUACGUAAGCUAUGAUCCGGAGAUUUCCGAAUGGGGCAACCCAGCAGUUUUAAUCAACUGUUACCACUAGAUGAAUUCAUAGUCUAGUUGGAGGUAAACGCUGUGAACUGAAACAUCUCAUUAGCAGCAGGAAUAUAAAGAAAUUUCGAUUCCCUAAGUAGCGGCGAGCGAACGGGGAACAGCCCAAACCAAAGUGCUUGCACUUUGGGGUUGUAGGACUGAACAUUUGAGUUACCAAAGAACUUGAUAGUCGAAGGAUUUGGGAAAAUCCGCCAUAGAUGGUGAUAGCCCAGUAGAUUAAAUCAAAUUCUCUCAGUUCAGGAUCCUGAGUACGGCGGAACACGUGAAAUUCCGUCGGAAUCCGGGAGGACCAUCUCCCAAGGCUAAAUACUACCUAGUGACCGAUAGUGAACCAGUACCGUGAGGGAAAGGUGAAAAGCACCCCGGGAGGGGAGUGAAAUAGUUCCUGAAACCAUGUGCCUACAAUAAGUCAGAGCGCGUUAAUGCGUGAUGGCGUGCCUUUUGUAGAAUGAACCGGCGAGUUAUGAUCCCGUGCAAGGUUAAGACUAAAAAGUUGGAGCCGUAGCGAAAGCGAGUCUGAAAUGGGCGUUUUGAGUACGAGGUUAUAGACCCGAAACCAGGUGACCUAUCCAUGUCCAGGUUGAAGGUGCGGUAAAACGCACUGGAGGACCGAACCCGUGUAAGUUGAAAAUUGCUGGGAUGAGGUGUGGAUAGCGGUGAAAUUCCAAACGAACUUGGAGAUAGCUGGUUCUCUCCGAAAUAGCUUUAGGGCUAGCCUCGGAAUUAGGAUCAUGGAGGUAGAGCACUAUUUGGACUAGGGGCCCGUCUUGGGUUACUGAAUUCAGAUAAACUCCGAAUGCCAUUGAUUCAUAUCCGGGAGUCAGACGAUGAGUGAUAAGAUCCACCGUCGAAAGGGGAACAGCCCAGACCAUCAGUUAAGGUCCCUAAAUGUAUGCUAAGUGGAAAAGGAUGUGGAGUUGCAUAGACAACUAGGAUGUUGGCUCAGAAGCAGCCACCAUUUAAAGAGUGCGUAAUAGCUCACUAGUCGAGUGAUCCUGCGCCGAAAAUGUACCGGGGCUAAGCAUACUACCGAAACCAUGGAUGCGACCAUUAGGUCGCGUGAUAGGAGAGCGUUCUAAGGGCGGUGAAGCAAGAUCGUGAGGACUUGUGGAGCGCUUAGAAGUGAGAAUGCCGGUAUGAGUAGCGAAAGAUAGGUGAGAAUCCUAUCCACCGAAUGACUAAGGUUUCCUGGGGAAGGCUCGUCCUCCCAGGGUUAGUCGGGACCUAAGUCGAGGCCGAGAGGCGUAGACGAUGGAUAACAGGUUGAGAUUCCUGUACUAGUUAAGUGCGUUUGAGCAAUGGAGGGACGCAGGAGGCUAAGAUGUGCAUUCUGUUGGAUUAGAAUGUCCAAGCAGUAAGUCUUGUGAAGAGUCAAAUGCUUUUCACUUUAAGGACAAGCUGUGAUGGGGAGCGAAAUUUAGUAGCGAAGCGUCUGAUGUCACACUGCCGAGAAAAGCUUCUAGUGAGUACUUAACUACCCGUACCGCAAACCGACACAGGUAGUCGAGGAGAGAAUCCUAAGGUGAGCGAGUGAACUCUCGUUAAGGAACUCGGCAAAAUGACCCCGUAACUUCGGGAGAAGGGGUGCUGAUCGCAAGAUCAGCCGCAGUGAAUAGGCCCAGGCGACUGUUUAUCAAAAACACAGGUCUCUGCAAAAUCGUAAGAUGACGUAUAGGGGCUGACGCCUGCCCGGUGCUGGAAGGUUAAAAGGAUGGGUUAGCUUCGGCGAAGCUCAGAAUUGAAGCCCCAGUAAACGGCGGCCGUAACUAUAACGGUCCUAAGGUAGCGAAAUUCCUUGUCGGGUAAGUUCCGACCCGCACGAAAGGCGUAACGAUCUGGGCACUGUCUCAACGAGAGACUCGGUGAAAUUAUAUUGUCCGUGAAGAUGCGGACUACCCGCGACAGGACGGAAAGACCCCAUGGAGCUUUACUGUAGCUUGAUAUUGAGUGUUUGUACAGCUUGUACAGGAUAGGUAGGAGCCAUAGAAACCGGAACGCUAGUUUCGGUGGAGGCGUUGGUGGGAUACUACCCUCGCUGUAUGACCACUCUAACCCGCACCACUAAUCGUGGUGGGAGACAGUGUCAGGUGGGCAGUUUGACUGGGGCGGUCGCCUCCUAAAAAGUAACGGAGGCGCCCAAAGGUUCCCUCAGAAUGGUUGGAAAUCAUUCGCAGAGUGUAAAGGCACAAGGGAGCUUGACUGCGAGACAGACAGGUCGAGCAGGGACGAAAGUCGGGCUUAGUGAUCCGGUGGUACCGUAUGGAAGGGCCAUCGCUCAACGGAUAAAAGCUACCCUGGGGAUAACAGGCUUAUCUCCCCCAAGAGUCCACAUCGACGGGGAGGUUUGGCACCUCGAUGUCGGCUCAUCGCAUCCUGGGGCUGUAGUCGGUCCCAAGGGUUGGGCUGUUCGCCCAUUAAAGCGGUACGCGAGCUGGGUUCAGAACGUCGUGAGACAGUUCGGUCCCUAUCCGUCGCGGGCGUAGGAAAUUUGAGAGGACCUGUCCUUAGUACGAGAGGACCGGGAUGGACAUACCUCUGGUGUACCAGUUGUGCCGCCAGGCGCAUCGCUGGGUAGCUACGUAUGGAUGUGAUAAACGCUGAAAGCAUCUAAGUGUGAAACACACCUCGAGAUGAGAUUUCCCAUUCCUUUAUGGAAGUAAGACCCCUGAAAGAUGAUCAGGUAGAUAGGUUAGAAGUGGCAGUGCGGUGACGCAUGAAGCGGACUAAUACUAAUCGGUCGAGGACUUAACCAAG
Molecule: ribosomal RNA, 2923 nt
Filed under: Lactiplantibacillus plantarum
Lineage: Bacteria; Bacillati; Bacillota; Bacilli; Lactobacillales; Lactobacillaceae
Description: Lactobacillus plantarum 23S ribosomal RNA
Rfam family: Bacterial large subunit ribosomal RNA
Source: RNAcentral